GCUAGUUGGUUGGUGUGCUGGCUGGUGGCCAUCGAUGUCCAUUCUCUGCUGCGGGCACUCGCUCGCUGCCGCCAUCGGCCUCGCUCCCUCGCCCGCUGCCUCCACCGCCAAAGCGGGGCCAAUUGGACAUCGAUGAGGAGCGGAGUGCGUUCGCUCGCUGCCGCCGUCGGCUCGAAGAGGGGCGGGGCCGCCGUCGCGGCUGGUCAAAGCGGGACCAGACUGACAUCGAAGAGGGACGGAGCGCGCUCACUCGCUGCCGCCGUCGCCUCGAAGAGGGGGCGGGGCCGCCGUCGCGGCUGGUCAAAGUUGGGCCAGACUGACAUCGAAGAGGGACGGUGUCUACCUUAGUUCACUCUUCUGACGACGUUGACAACCGGGGAGCAGCUCCUACUUCUGCUGCUUUAGUUGUCUAGCUAAACCAUGCUAAGGCGACCGUAGGGCUGACAGAGCACAGUUUUUGCAGAGUCAGUAGGCUAGACUUCGAGGCCCCUUGUUCGCCUUCGACGGACACAGCGUCUACUUGGGUGAGCCGGGAAAAGUGUGCGUUACACCUCGACGACCUGCUGCCGCUGGAGGAGAGAGACUAAGUCGAGUCUAUUUGUAUAGUUGACACCUUCUUUCGGAUCUUGAUUCUUUACGACCAUGGUGUCUGCCACUACUCUAAUGGACGACCUGACAAGUCUGGCUGUGGGGCGUAAUGGGUCUUUUUAUACUCGUUCACAUGUACAACUUCGGUCUCCAUGCUGUUUGAUGUUCUAUGGGUGGUGGUAGUUGUGGCCCACUACUCUCGUCACAUGGCGUAGUACCUGUAUACUACGCACGACGAUACGUAUUUGUUACUGUGGUGUGUUCGUACGACCUUGGUUAGCAUCUCUGCUCACUCCAUCUUUUACUUCGACGAUUACCGUGCCUGUGACCGAUGUAACUUUCGACCUGAUUUCAACAAGUAGUUGUUUGGAUGCUAGUUCUGAUGCUCGGACAGAUACAAGAGUUUGGUUUUUGUGCUCUAGUACGCGUUCGAUGUGGUGCGCACGUUCGUCUAGUGAGUAACUGUGCACCACAAGGCGGUUGUUUUCUACUUCGGUAACGGUUGUAGUUUUGACCCGUAGGCGUUAAGCGAAAGUCGUUUUGUUGACGUCGUUGUUCCCAAGACGAGUUUUGUUAGAGGAGUGUCUUGGGUAAUACCUCGGUUGUAGGACACUCCUUUGCGUCGUUGUCUGGCUGGAGUAGUGCUGACCAUGGUGGCGCUCUAGGUGUUGAGGCACACGGCAGUGUGGUGGUACAGGUUAUGUCGUACCUGUGAACGUUUGUGGUCGUCUCGAGGCUAGUAUGUGCGUGUUGUGUCUGUAAGGACGAGUUGAUUAAGGUCACGAUCCUGUCCUUAAGUUAAGUAUACUGCUACGUAAGUUAAAAAAAUUACUGAUGCGGUUUGUACAACCCAAGCCCUAUUCCUUUCCUGUCUUUUUAUUCUUCUUUGCGAUGAAUAUAACGCAUGUGAGACCGUUUAUGUGUAGGAGACAAGUGCUACGUCUAGCAGUCGCGUUGUUUCAUUGUUUUUCUUGACUAACGUUCUGUUACUACGAGAACUUUCUUUCUCUGCUGCCCUGAACACAACAGUUUCUGUAACACUAACUUGUGUUGGUGUCCGAGGAACUGUCGGGCAGGUGCGAGCAGAAAGACGUAAGUGUGUUUUGCUAUCUAGGUUGUCAUUUUCUUAUGUAUUUUCUGGACGUAUUCUGUUUACAAUUCGUACACUUAUAGUACUCAGAGGAAAGAACCAAUAGACCACCCGCGCUGUUUAACGGAAAAUGUCUGUUCCUGCACGAAUUGUAGUUUCGUCUUAAACGUUCCUGACUAAGCUUUCUACUACACCUCUUUAACAAACUAAGAAACUCCUCUACUUCUUACUCUUACUCUUAAAGAAGAAACUACAUCUGCAACCUUGACUACUACUACCAUUCUUUUAAUAGUCUUUAUAUAAGACCAGGUUACGAUCGACGGUCCGACGUAUGCGUCUAAAGCCACUGACGCAGUGCAAACUGUGGUGUAUGUUUUGCUUGUUCAUAGUGUACGGAAACCCCAAAAAACAGUCACACUUAUUAGUAGACGUUAGAUGUUAAAAACCUCAACGGAACCACCCCUUACUCUCAUCGCUGAGUAAGCUUACCUAAAAAUUACGAAAAUUCGCCACGUACGCUUUUCUGGGUUGAACGUAUGAUUGUCUAGUUACGGGACGGUACUUUCGUCGAUAUGGAUUCCAGAAGGAGUCUUGAGUAGUGGCGGAGACGGCUACCGUGUAAUACUUUUUUUAUUUUCUAGUAAACAGUUUUCAUAUGAAUCUUGUACUGUGUAAAUUCCUUCUGGAGCGUCGUCAGGAAUUGGUAGGUGAGUACGGUCGUCUCAAACUUCGUCGUACCGUGCUGGAGUACCUGUGCAUGUUGAAUGUCUUACUGUGGUAGGACGACCCGGAUACCCUUCUCUCUUGUUGUACCUAUAGACGUAUGACCUUCCUCUAUAAGACGCGGUCUUACUGCAGUCGUGUUUCUUCGCUUUCGUACUUAGUAUAGGACUUUUUUCCAAAGCACUUUCUUUGUGUUCACGAAGUGUAUAAACGGUCUGUUCAGUUACUUACGUAUGUCUUCUCCGUGGUCGAACUCCAACGGCUCUGUUAUCGAAGUUGCCCACAGUCUUUGGGAGAGUGAUCCAUGGAAAAGCUCUUUGUCGACUACCUGCACAUGUGUGCGCGACUGAUGUGGAAUAAGGCACUUUCUGAGAAACUUUCGCCGCGGAAGGCUUAGUUUGUCAGUUGACCCGUACAUUGCUUCAUGAUGCAUGUGGUGAUGUUGGUUCUCUUUUAUAAGUGUACCAGUUCCGUGCUUAAGGUCCACCAGCGACUACUUUGUUUACCGCUUAUGCUUACGCUCACGUUUGAGACUAGUGUGUCCUGAUAAGACGGUAGUGUAUUAACGUGACAACCUUGUGGACGCUCAUCGAUAUUAUGGUCUAGCCAUGUAUGACGUUGCCAUGUGUUCCCUACGUUUAUCACUGAGCCGUAAGUUGGUGUCUCUGAUGUCCUUAUGUUGACAUCUACCAUGUGAUUAAGUUAUGGCGGUGUGUUUCGACGACUUGCUCUGUGACUUUUGACAGGUCUUCCCCCAUUUCUGUCUACGUCGAAUGUUGUCCGACUACUGUACGGACUUUGUUCACGUUGGUCUCGAUCUACUAGACUUGCCACUACUGUAUCUCAGUUGCCUUACGUUUGUUAGUAGACAUCUACUUUUACUUCAACGGGGACUAUACCGUCUUGUUUUUCUAGGUUGCUAACUCUUCAGUUCAUACCUACUACUAGCGCUGUUUUAUGUGGGUGGGGGUCACACGUUUUGUUUUCCAUCUUUGUUUGACUCACGCCGGUACUUUGUCCUUGUUUUCGGUUGACUUUAGUCACUCUUUUAGUCAAGUUUUUGACGAUCCGGUCUCGGUCAAUAACCUUUUCUGCCGUACGGUGAUCCCUCGUCUGAAACGUCGUUGACGUUAUACUAAUCACCCGUGUUGUUUUCUUGAACGCACUUUUCCGUCGAUCUCGUUUUCGAAGACGUUCGUGUACUCUUUUUCAUACCCGGACACCUGUUUAGGUACCAACGACGUUGAUAGUUCUUUGACGACAGCUUUCGUUGAUACUUCCUCCUUCGAUAGUUGCUGUCGUUUUUAUACUCACUACUGUCAUUACUUUUUCCACCAUCACUGCUUCUGCGACUCGGAAGUGGUUUCUCCUACGUGUAGUUGUUUCUACAACCCUUUCCGUUCUAGAAGUUCUUUUCUACGUUUUUUACAUUGUUCCAGCUUCCCGUGUUGUGAGCAUGCACGCUACAUCAGUCUUAUCCGUUACUCUAAGACCUUUACUGUCUCGUCUACCAAGUGGUCCCUGUCCUGCUCCGUACAUUAUCUUUCGUGUUUUGUUGCAGAGUCUUCGAACGUCCCCGUUUUC
RNAcentral lists this ribosomal RNA (3985 nucleotides) under Triticum aestivum (bread wheat). RNAcentral describes it as "partial small subunit ribosomal RNA". The record is from RNAcentral. Lineage: Eukaryota; Viridiplantae; Streptophyta; Magnoliopsida; Poales; Poaceae.